CGCAGAUCAGAAUGCUGCGGUGAAUGCGUUCCCGGGUCUUGUACACACCGCCCGUCACACCACGGGAGUUGGGGGCGCCCGAAGCCGGAUUGCUAACCUUUUGGAAGCGUCCGUCGAAGGUGAAAUCAAUAACUGGGGUGAAGUCGUAACAAGGUAGCCGUAUCGGAAGGUGCGGCUGGAUCACCUCCUUU
This 191-nucleotide ribosomal RNA is filed under the name Cyanobacteria bacterium HKST-UBA01. Its description in RNAcentral is "partial 16S ribosomal RNA". It matches the Rfam family "Bacterial small subunit ribosomal RNA", at positions 1343 to 1533 of the family's 1533-position model. Lineage: Bacteria; Bacillati; Cyanobacteriota. The record is from RNAcentral.